UAUAAACUUACUUAGAAUAGCCUAACGUGAUGGCAUCUAGACUUACACAAGAGGAAGAAAACUAUGUCAGGAUGAGCCUUUUACUGACGGGAAUAUCUCCUCGUGCAGCACGAGGUUUGUUUGAUCACGAAUUUGUUCCGUCAUGCUUGAAUGCAACAAUAACGAAAGAGUACAAUAAACUUAAAGAUCUUCAGAAGAAGCGAAUAAUUAACCAGCAGCAGUGGAAUUUGCUGUUCCCAAGACGCCCCCGUAAGUAACAUUGGCCUAGCUAUGUUAAUAUCAAAAGGCACAU
RNAcentral lists this long non-coding RNA (292 nucleotides) under Mytilus galloprovincialis (Mediterranean mussel). Lineage: Eukaryota; Metazoa; Mollusca; Bivalvia; Mytilida; Mytilidae. The record is from RNAcentral.